Molecule: ribosomal RNA, 505 nt
Filed under: uncultured bacterium
Lineage: Bacteria
Description: partial 16S ribosomal RNA
Rfam family: Bacterial small subunit ribosomal RNA
Source: RNAcentral
GACGAACGCUGGCGGCGUGCCUAAUACAUGCCAGUAGAACGCACAGUUUAUACCGUAGCUUGCUACACCAUAGACUGUGAGUUGCGAACGGGUGAGUAACGCGUAGGUAACCUGCCUGGUAGCGGGGGAUAACUAUUGGAAACGAUAGCUAAUACCGCAUAAUAUUAAUUAUUGCAUGAUAAUUGAUUGAAAGAUGCAACUGCAUCACUACCAGAUGGACCUGCGUUGUAUUAGCUAGUAGGUGAGGUAACGGCUCACCUAGGCGACGAUACAUAGCCGACCUGAGAGGGUGAUCGGCCACACUGGGACUGAGACACGGCCCAGACUCCUACGGGAGGCAGCAGUAGGGAAUCUUCGGCAAUGGACGAAAGUCUGACCGAGCAACGCCGCGUGAGUGAAGAAGGGUUUCGGAUCGUAAAGCUCUGUUGUAAGAGAAGAACGGGGGUGAGAGUGGAAAGUUCACACUGUGACGGUACCUUACCAGAAAGGGACGGCUAACUACGUG